AGAGGGGCUGGGCGGGGGCAGGGCGUAUCUUGGCGUGUGCAUAUCCCUGUGCACAGGUGUGCCUCUGAGUGUGACGCGGCAUGUGCAUGUGCACACGGGUCCCCACCUCUCCCAGGGGAAAGUGGGGAACAGUUCUGAGGGCCUCCCGACCAGGUUGCUCUGGGCGCAGCCCCAAGACUCAGGCCUGACUCAUUUUCCUUCCUUGGCCUUGUCUUUGUCCUCUCCGCAGUUCUCUUUGGAUGGGGGAGAGACACAGGCAGUGGGGUCAGCAUGGCCCAUCUUCCCUGCUUCCUGCGCUGCUCAUUACCUGGUGUGUGUGUGUGUGUGUGUGUGUGUGUGUGUGUGUGUGUGCAUGCGGGGCGUUCGUGGUUCUGCGUGUUUAGCUAGGUUCUUGUCUGUCUCCUACUAUGUUGUCAGCUCCACACAGGGGGAGACUUGUAGGCCCUCAAAAAUUACUUGUGGAACAGUUCCUCUUAUCGAUAUGCUGUUGAGGCUGGACUGUGCAUUUUGCAUUCAGCGCACGCGCGUGCACGCAUACACACACACACACACGCACACGCACAAGCAUAUCUGACUCAGGGAUAGCUGCUGGGUCUGGGGCUCAGGCAGGAACCUACAGAGAUGAGUUUCCGUCCUGGAAGAGAGAGGGGACGCGUGGGGCAUCAGCCAAGGGCCCAGUGUGGGGCCUGCACACAGUAGGGCUUGUGUGCCAGGCGUUUCUUGGGUGUCUGUGACCCUCCCCCGAGGGGGCUGGGACGACAGGCUUGAAGGUCAGGUGCUCCCGCAGCCUGGGAGGCGGGAGGGGAAGAGGCUGGAGCCUCUUCUGCUCAGGGCAGUGCAGGAUCCCCGGGAUAGCGCACCUGCUAUGUGCCAGGCACAGGGCAAAACACGGUCUAUUAUCUUGUUUAAUUUUGGCUGGAGGAUUGUGAAAGAGGUCCAGCCGGCCUCUGGGUGGGGGCAGGCCAGGUGGAGAGACCACGUGAGCCGAGGUCUGGAGGUCGGAAAGCCUGGAGUGGAGUUUGGGAAGAUGAGUCUGGAAUGUAGUUUGAGGAUCAAAUUACACAGGACGGUAAACUUUGGGCUAAGAAAGGGAGCCUUACCCGGUUGGUCCCGGAGUGCCUUUGUGAAAAUGCAGAAUCUUGGGCCGCGUCGGGGGAGAUUUUGAUUCAGUAGGGUCCACGGAGGGGGGGGGGGACCCGGGGAACCUGCCUCGUGAGUGUGCUUCCAGGAUAUUAAUUCACCCACGUUUGCCGGUUGGAAGGCGGCUGAGGGGGCUGCGUCUUCCAGACUCUUCCCACUCACCCUGGGGAGGCAACAAAGCCAUCUGCAUUUUUCAAGGAGCCUGAGCUCAGAGAAGGGUGGCCCCUUCUCUGCAGCAAGGCCAGGCCAGUACUGACUAACGAUUGCCAUGCGCCCUGACUGCUGCUCUGAGCUUGUCCAGUGGCCCUCGUUCAGUCCUCAGAACGACCCUCGGCAGCGCUCCUGUUGCACACAGGAGGAAACGGAGGCAGAGUCCGCGGUCCCGGGUUCGAGGCCGCCUCGCUGAAGGAGAGGACCCGGGUGAGAAGCUGCUGUCGCCUGGACCGGGACCCGGGACCCGAGACUCCGUUGCUACUGCUGCUGUGGCCACUGCUGCCGUGGGGACUUCCCUGAGACCAGGCCAGGGAUAGAGCCUCGCUGGCCGGAGGGGCCCCCUUUGCCCGCAGACAUCGGAGCCAGGUGACAGAUGGGUCCUUUCCUUCCUGCCCCGUCUCUCGAGCUCCCUCCUCAGAGGCUCACUCUCCAGCCUCCCAUGGGCAUCGUGGGAAUCGUCUGAAGUUCUGAGCCCGGAACCCGAGGAGGAGGAGGAAGAAGAGGAAGAGGAGGAGGAGGGAGAGGAAGUCGAGUCCUGAGAACCUGUGCACCUUCCCGGAAACAGGCGGAGGGGCGCGGCCCGGCCC
Long non-coding RNA from Herpailurus yagouaroundi (jaguarundi), 1940 nucleotides. RefSeq lists it as uncharacterized. The transcript is spliced from 3 exons. NCBI's taxonomy places the organism in Eukaryota, Metazoa, Chordata, Mammalia, Carnivora, Felidae. The record is from RefSeq and is a predicted model, not a curated record.